Molecule: small RNA, 564 nt
Filed under: Pongo abelii (Sumatran orangutan)
Lineage: Eukaryota; Metazoa; Chordata; Mammalia; Primates; Hominidae
Description: retained intron
Source: RNAcentral
GUAUAACACAUGAUAAGCUACUCAUUGUUUCAGAGAUUACCCCAGUUUUAUAAGAGAUGAAUCUAAAAUUUAUUAGCAAAACUUUUCCUCCUUCAAAAUUAUGAUUUUAAAUACUCAAUUACUCUGAAAACCUCUGUGUGUGUUUUCUUCUUUUUUACUAAUAGGCAUCAUCUCACUGAAUCAAUGAUCCCUGAAUGAAAAACUAUAUGUUAUUGUUAUAGGAAUGAAAAUGUUUACUCAGAAAGGUAUUCUUUAGUCAGUCUGAUAGACACACAUUCCUUAGCAAGUUUUAUUACGUAUAUGUUUAUAUUCUGUUUGGUAAUUUUUAUAACUGUUUUGCUAUAUUUACCUUUACCAUUCAAAAUCUGCUUUAUGUUUGGACCAAUAGAAAAAGUGACAUUUCUCUUAGUAUUUUGAGCAUGUUGAAGAAGCUGUGUGGGCUGUGGAAGUCUUAAAAGAAUCAGAUAGACCCGUGGCAGUUACCAUGUGCAUCAGCCCAGAGGGAGACAUGCAUGAUAUAACCCCCGGAGAAUGUGCUGUGAGGCUGGUGAAGGCAGGGGCUUC